This 253-nucleotide ribosomal RNA is filed under the name uncultured bacterium. RNAcentral's name for it is "partial 16S ribosomal RNA". It matches the Rfam family "Bacterial small subunit ribosomal RNA", at positions 524 to 776 of the family's 1533-position model. The record is from RNAcentral.
UACGUAGGGUGCGAGCGUUGUCCGGAAUUACUGGGCGUAAAGAGCUCGUAGGCGGCUUGUCGCGUUGUUCGUGAAAAUUUACCGCUCAACGGUGAACUUGCGGGCGAUACGGGCAGGCUAGAGUACUGCAGGGGAGACUGGAAUUCCUGGUGUAGCGGUGAAAUGCGCAGAUAUCAGGAGGAACACCGGUGGCGAAGGCGGGUCUUUGGGCAGUAACUGACGCUGAGGAGCGAAAGCGUGGGGAGCGAACAGG